Molecule: ribosomal RNA, 253 nt
Filed under: uncultured bacterium
Lineage: Bacteria
Description: partial 16S ribosomal RNA
Rfam family: Bacterial small subunit ribosomal RNA
Source: RNAcentral
UACAGAGACUGCAAGCGUUAUUCGGAUUCACUGGGCGUAAAGGGUGCGCAGGCGGUUGGGUGUGUCAGAUGUGAAAUCCCGAGGCUCAACCUCGGAACUGCGUCUGAAACUACUCGACUAGAGUAUUGGAGAGGGUAACGGAAUUCACGGUGUAGCAGUGAAAUGCGUAGAUAUCGUGAGGAACACCAGAGGCGAAGGCGGUUACCUGGACAAUUACUGACGCUCAGGCACGAAAGCAUGGGGGGCAAAAGGG